GAAUGGGAUGCGACAUUGGUAAUGGUCGGG
RNAcentral lists this transfer RNA (30 nucleotides) under Stemodia palustris. Its description in RNAcentral is "partial tRNA-Phe". The record is from RNAcentral. Lineage: Eukaryota; Viridiplantae; Streptophyta; Magnoliopsida; Lamiales; Plantaginaceae.